This 83-nucleotide transfer RNA is filed under the name Candidatus Omnitrophota bacterium. RNAcentral describes it as "tRNA-Tyr". It matches the Rfam family "tRNA". From Rfam's summary of the family: Transfer RNA (tRNA) molecules are approximately 80 nucleotides in length. Their secondary structure includes four short double-helical elements and three loops (D, anti-codon, and T loops). Lineage: Bacteria; Pseudomonadati; Candidatus Omnitrophota. The record is from RNAcentral.
GGGUAGGUUGCCGAGAGGACAAUGGCAGCAGACUGUAAAUCUGCCGGCUCACGCCUUCGGAGGUUCGAAUCCUCCCCUGCCCA